CAAUCCAUGAGCAGACCUAGUCAAUACAAUAUGUCUGUAAAUUCUAAAAAUUCAUGUGCCUCAAAAAUAUUCGGUGACGACAAAUUUUACGUAUUUCAUAAUACUUUAUUAGACUCAAAUUUGAAGAAGAAUAUGUAUAAUCAAAAUAAUUUUGACAUUUUACUUGGCGACAAACCAACAUUCGUUAUUAAUCAAACGAAAGUAAAUUCUUCACAAUUUAACCAAAAAAAAUCAGGGAUUCCCAAAUUGAAUACAGAAAUAAAACUUGAUACAAAACAAACAGAUAUUCAAAUACCAGUUAAAUAUCCAUCUUAUUCAAUUCCUUUGAGAAACCUGGAAUAUAAUGGAAAAAAAACUAGAUCUUACGUAGAUUGUCCGUCUGAAGUACUUCAAAAAACUACAAAUUUUGACACUAACGUCACAGAUAGUAUUAUCGACUGGUCGAGAUUUCAAAGGUCACGAGACAAUACUAUAAAUGUAAAAUCUUCGAAAACAUCAAUUCUUACAAAUGAACCUUGGCAAUUAAGUUUUUGUGAUGAUAAAGACGAGCCCAAUUCCAUUAAAUCCCCAGAUAAGAACAGUUACCAUGAUUAUUAUUACCAUUACUGCUGGAGAAAAGAAGUAGCGAAGAAAAGUAAAGCUGUGCAGGACCUUUGGGACUGCAAAGGAAGAUGUAAGAAAUGCCAGGGACAUAGGAUAUCUCCCUAUCAGA
Molecule: long non-coding RNA, 712 nt
Organism: Vanessa tameamea
Lineage: Eukaryota; Metazoa; Arthropoda; Insecta; Lepidoptera; Nymphalidae
Exons: 5
Source: RefSeq, a predicted model, not a curated record